UUUUUUUUUAUUUAUUUAUUUCACGGACACACUUAGCUUGAAGCGUGUGUUGUAUUUCAUUAAACCGAAAUGUAUGUAAUAAUCAACGUAAAAUGUACGUACAAGCAGCUAAGUUUCAUUCGGAACCUCUUUGUGUGCCUCGUGUCAUGAUUUUUUUUUUGACCCUAGCAUGAUGUCUCUGUUUGGUUUGGUGGUGUAUGUAUCCAGCCACUUCGUUGAGGACUGGGUCAGGAUCGGCUCCCCUGCCAAGGCGAAGGUGCACAAAGAGCAUGCCUCAGUGCCGUUCGAUGACCAGUGCUCCAUCCUGGAGAAGGUACGUACACCGUAUGUACACGCAUUGCAUGAAUGCAAUGAGUUGAUUUUGCUCACAAAAGGGACCUUGUAUUUUUCUGAAUGUUUCUGCAGGAGGCCGUGAACGUGUCCCUCGCCAACCUCAAGACUUACCCCUUCGUCAAGGAACGGCUGGCCAAAGGGACCCUCAAGCUGGUCGGCGCCCACUACGACUUCGUGUCCGGGAAGUUCCUCACAUGGGAGCCUGUAGGGUUCAUAACCUUCAUCCUUACAUUUUCAAUUGUACAUACUGUAUCUGAGACCACAUGGUUUUACCUCCUGGCACACUCCAGAUCCAAACUUCCUAUCCAUUUUCUCUCCUUCCUUGCCAUCGCAAUUAAUUUCUUUCUAAGAAGAACAAAAUCACCACCAAAUCCAACCACAACACUUGAAAUCCGCCCCAUGCAUAGCACUUGAAACCAGCCCCAACAUCUUAAUUGACCUACUUCUCAUCUUCUUCGGAUAUAAGAAGAUUGAACCCUAUCUCCACCGCAAAUACAUAUAUCGCGUUCACCCGCUACAAACUUCUAGUCCAGUUGUCGCCUGGUCCUCUAUCCGCUUCAAUUAGGCUUGCCGUUGCAUCGAAUUUCUAACCUCGUUGGUGCACCAGGCUCGUCUGUGGUGAUGGAUAUGAGGCCAUGGCCAUCGAGGUCCAUCUACCACAAAGAUGCCACUGCCUUUUUCCAUGGCCACCAUGGUUUGCCGAAUCAGUUGUCCCCCGAGGAAGCAAUCAUCAUGUUGGAGUCGUUCUUCUCUACAAAACGUGCUCAAGUAGCCAUCGACAUUCCGCUUAAGCGAUAUAUAUUGUCCACAAAAGCUGUGCUUGACCGUUACUCAUUUUUCAUCAAAUCCCGCGUUGUGCGGUGUCUCUUUCUCUCACUAAAACGAUUGCACAUGUCAUCAUGUUGAUGUUGCUAGUAAUCUAGACAAUGGGGCAGCUCAAAAGGUGAACGAGAGAGAUAUAGAGAGAAAGGGAGGGAGGGAGGGCCACACCGCAUCUAUCCAUCUGACUAUAAGGGGGCAAAAGAAGAAAAGAGGAGAAGAUGAGAAGUUGCAUUUGCCUCCCUGUUAUAUAUCAAAGGAGGGUCAAUGAAGCCGUCCAUAGAUUCCCACACCUCGUCACUCCUUGAGAACCAGAAGCCCACCCCAUCCAGUCCAAGGUCCGUUCCCUCAUCCUCCUCCCUCACCCUCGCCAUCAUCCUUCACAUAGCACACACAGUAAUCUUUGUCCGUCCCUCUGUUUUCUUUUCCUCUAUUGCCAUCAUGAGCCUGCAACUUCUGCUUUCUCCCUAUGUUGUAUUGUGUUGGUGCAAAGAAGAUCCAUCUUCCCCUUUUUGAUCAUAUUUUAUGCAUGCUUUCCUUAUGGUCCGUGGCAAGGAGGCCAAGCAUUGGCAUCAUGCCCCUUCUAUCUCUCUCUACCCCCUCAUGCCCCUUCUCUUUCUCUCUCUACCCCCGUCAUGCUGCAUCACGAUCAUGAGUAUGCAAGUUGGUCUUUCCGGGAUGGCAAAAUGACCGAUGGUUUUCUGGUUGUUGGUCUUGUAGGUGAUGGACGCCGUUGACCGCUUGAAGAGCGGGUUCGAGCAGUUCAAGAUCGAGGUCUAUGAGUAAGUCAUCUCUCUACUUAGAGCUGUUGUUUUUUUAAUUUGUAGCACCCAUGUUUGGUUUAAUAUUUUCAGUUUCAACCACUUGAUUUAUUUUGGGAAUUCUGAGAGCUCCGACUGAUACUGCCAUGUUGUCUUUUUUCUGCAGCAAGAAGCCAGAGCUUUUUGAGCCUCUCAAAUCUGGCCAGGCCCCCAGGGUAUGUGUAGGGAUGAAAAUGGAUCAAAUUUGUAUAGAAUCAAAUCCAUAUAUCACCUCUUAACACAUUUUUAUUCAAAUUCAGUUAUUGGAUACAUAUACUUUUGAAUACAAAUAUAAAACAAAUGUCUUGAAUCUGUAUUUCUAUUCAAAGAUUUACUCAAUUCAACUCAAAUUGUAUAUUGCUAAAUUCAACGUACAUGUAUACAAUUUUACUACUAAAUUCAUCGAUAAACCUUUUUUGCUUUAUCAAUUUUUUAGGUUUACAAACUAUUAUAUUGAAACAUUUGUGUAUAUAAUUUAAAAUGAAUGGUGACAGCUUGUCGCCAUUAGCGGCCAAUUGGCAAGUACUAGUAGUAGUCUGUUGGAUAUAAUCCCUCCAUCCUAAAUAUAUGCAGAAAUCAUCUAUUGAGGAGUAAUUCUUUUUUUCAGUUUAACUAAAAGUAUAAUUUAUUUCGAAAAAAUACUAAAUGCUCAAUCUAAUGAUAUUUAUUAUACACUAUAAACAUUAAUAUAUUUUUAAUAUAAAUAUAAUUAAAAUUUAAAAAUUUGAAGUUUCAUAAAGCGAGAUGUACAGUUAUUUUGGGACAAAAGAAAUAGUCCUAUAAUUAUUUUGUACUACAAAAGUCUGCUCCAUAGGGCACAAGCUUCAACUUUGGCACUACUAGUCAUAGGCUCAUUGCGCAAAGAAAUGGUGGUGGGAGUGGGAUACAUACAUGCUCCUUCUUUUCCCGAUCGAUCGACCUGAUGCUGAUUAUUUUCCUCUGCUGCAUGCAUGCAGUACAUGGUGUUCGCCUGCGCUGACUCCCGUGUGUGCCCGUCGGUGACCCUGGGCCUGAUGCCCGGCGAGGCCUUCACCGUCCGCAACAUCGCCGCCCUGGUCCCAGGCUACGACAAGGUACGUACACACUGACCGUCGUCGCCGACGACACAAAAUGGCCGUCUAUUUCUCCUCGGCCCGGCCGGCCGCCGCCGGCCGGGCAUGACAGAGGAUCGAGGACUGACACGGCCGCGCCUUUCGUAUUCGUCACCUGCAGACCAAGUACACCGGCAUCGGGUCCGCCAUCGAGUACGCCGUGUGCGCCCUCAAGGUGCAGGUGCUCGUCGUCAUUGGCCAUAGCUGCUGCGGUGGCAUCAGGGCGCUCCUCUCCCUCCAGGACGGUGCACCUGACAACUUGUAAGACGCCACCGUAAAAUAUACAAAGUUUCAUUAAGAUAAAACAAAAAUUCUUUUGUACCUCUAUGAUGAUUUUGAUCCCAGCGCAUUUUUAUCUGUUGUUUUUUUUGUGGUGUAUCCAGCCACUUUGUUGAGGACUGGGUCAAGAUUGGCUUCCCUGCCAAGAUGAAGGUGAAGAAAGAGAACGCUUCGGUGCCGUUCGAUGACCAAUGCUACAUUCUAGAGAAGGUAUGUACACCGUACAUGCACGAGCAGUUAGUUGCUGCAUGAAUGGAUUAAUUUUUGCUCACCGGAGAACCUUGUAUUUCUGAAAAUGUUUCUGCAGGAGGCCGUGAAUGUGUCCUUGGAGAACCUCAAGACCUACCCAUUCGUCAAGGAAGGGCUGGCCAACGGUACCUUAAAGCUGGUCGGCGGCCACUAUGACUUCGUGAAAGGAGAGUUCCUCACAUGGAAAGUCUAGAGCUAAGGCACCCGGACGGCCCAACUCCUACAUCAUCAUAAAUUUAUACCACAUAUAUACCUACCGAUAUGCACCCGAUCGAUGCGAAUGCGCGGAGUACUACAUGCAUGUUUUCAGCAACUACAUAUAUACAUACCGGAUCGCCCCAAUGUGAAUGUAAUAAGCAAUAGCAUUUUCAACCGCUUUCAUUUCUAACGCCGAGCUUUUAUGUACUAUAUAUAUAAUAUGAUGCAUAAUUGACCGGCUUGUGGUCAAAAGACAUCAACUAUAAUCCUUUUUUCAUAAUAUUGUUAUGAAGAGUUUACCUCUUUUUUUUGUCAUUAACGGAUCCAGAGAAACAGGCCAGGAGGGCAACACGCCAACACCCUCCGUCCUAAAAUAGAGUGCAUUCUGACAUUUAAGAUGUGUCCCAAAAUAUAGUACAUUCAAGGAACAUGAAGAUAAUAUUUACUUAAAUAAAGUUACGGAAGAGGAAAGUAAUUGAGUGCUUACUAUAUUUUCUAUAAGAAAACUUAGAUUGCAACCUUUAAUCAUACGAAUAAGAUCAUAUUUCAAUAUAUUAGAAAGUUAAGUGAGUAGUACAUGCGUCUAUUGUUUUUUCUCUCUCUCUCUUAUUUUGUCUUAAAUAGCCAUAACGCACUGUAUUGCAGAGCGGAGGGAGUACUUUGGAAGCAUCAAGAGCAAAAUCCAAGGAUGGAAAGCCCCAUAUGAACAACUAAGAUGAUAACUAGAAAUCAUACUCGCCAUACACGAGUACUUUGGAAGCAAGAAGAGCAAAAAUCCAAGGAUAGAAAGCCCCAUAUAAACAACUAAGAUGAUAACCAGAAUUCAUACUCGCCAUACACCAAUAGAUCUAACAAACAGCACUCAAUUCAAAAUGCUUAAUUAGACAAUACAUCAUUAAUGAUAGAAAGGUACUUAAUAAAUAGCUUCCGAUAAUUAAAUGAUCAAAUAUGUUUCACAAUUUCACACCACUUGAACAAGCAUCCUCCAAUCUACAUACAAAAUAAAAUAUCAUGGUUCUUCAAACAACAUGAUAAUAUUAUGGAUUGAAAUGAACUUAUACAACACACACCUUGGUCCCUUGUGUGGCAAAUUUAUCUACAAAUUCUUAAGACCUGUAAGCGGUUACACACUGUCCACACAUGUUCUACGCUUUAAUCAAUUUGAUUGGUUAUCAAACCAUUAUUGAACAAAACCUCUUGAUUAACUUUUAGUUUUACUCUCUUUUGUUGUUCUUUUAGUUUUACCCUCUUUCGUCUAGAGACGACGACUCCUUUCCCUAUUUCUCGCGAGGAUUCCUCUAUUAGGGGACAGAGAUAAGACCAAAUUAACCCCCAUAGGUAACUAAACAGAACCAAAUCUAUCCACUUGUAUCUACUGGGGCUGGGGCCGGGAAGCUUUCCUCGUACCUGCUCCUUGUCAAGCCCUCUUUAGCCGACUCUUCAUCUAGCUAUCAAUCUGACACAAUUGCAUCCAUCCAUCUUUGAUUCUUAUCUUAUACUAGAUAAUGGCUCGUGUAUUGUUGUGCACACACAAAAUUUUAAUCGAAUAACUUUUUUUACCAAAAUGAACUAAAAUAAACUUUUAUAUAGGUAUAAAAUUUAAAUUCAGCAUGACAUAGAAUUACCUAUAUUUCAAGUUUUGAGAUCCUUUGCAAUUGAAAAAAAAGGUAUUACACUUUAAUAAACCGUACGUAUCCACAUAUUGUGUUUUGGUGGGGUUCGAAGCAGAAUCCAUGGUGACCUUUGUGUUACAAGCAUUUUAACACCGACCUAGAUAUCAAAAAUCAAGUCCAAAAUAGUAAAAUUGACCAUAACAGUUGGAAUAAAAACGCAGCUUUAGCUUGAAAUAACUUGCAGGUAUUCAUGAUCAGAUUGAUCAAGAUAUUCAUGAUCAAGGAACGCACAAGGAAAAUGCUGAGUACAACCAAACUUGUACAGUUGUACUUAAGUAACAAUGACCUAUACAAUUGACUUAUACCAUUGACUUUUACCUGUACAGUUGCAAUCAAGUAUGGUACUUAUUUGAAAACAUAGCAAUCCAUUUCAAUGUAAAUGUAUUGAACCUUGAAAAAUAAUUUCGAGGAUUACAUAGUACAACAUAGACGUCUACAACAUGCACGCAUACUCACACUAAUGAAUACACAUACGCAAACCAUACUCAUAUGAGCAUCUCCGAAGAAUUAAGCUGACAGAUCAUCUCGAGAUUCACAAAGUCAUUAAAGGCGUCUCGUUCUCGACGGGGACGUCACCUACCACUGGAAACAUAGCGUCGUUAAAUCUUGAAAUAAAUUUAGAAAAACAUGAGCACCCAUGCUAAGUCGACGAGGUGUUUGGGACUGCUCUGCUCCACUUUUUUCAGCUCCGCUCCACGUUUUUUAGCCAAACGGUUUCAGCUCCACGCACUGAGUUCGAGAAAAAAAAGUGGAGUUGUGAGAGCACCUAAAGAGGUACUCCACGAACUCCAGUUUUUUGUAGAGCUACUUCAUAGUGGAGUUUGUGAAGCAGAGUUCGUGGAGCAGUGCCAAACACCCCCUUAAACCUAGAUGGACAAGUUAACGUGAAAAAAUAGUUUAAUUUGCACUCCAGUCUUAUAGAUUUUUUUUGCGAGGACCAAUCUUAUAGAUCUAUAGUAAUUGAUUUUAUCUAGACAAUGUCUAAUAUUGCCACGUAGAACAAAUUAGCACCACCAGCAGAGAAACUUUAGAAAGAAGAUAUAUAAAUCAUAAGUUAUUCUAACUUUUUAAGUCAAAGCAUAUUAGUUGACCAAUUUUAUAGAAAAAUCUUAAAAGUUUUAUGAUAUUAAAUAGGUAUAUUAUAAAAAUAUAAUUAAUAAAAAUUUUAAUAAUACUUAUUUAAUAUUAUAAAGGUUUUAUAUUAUAUAAUAAAUUUUGUUAGAUUUGAGGUGAGUUGGAAUAAGUUAUAAUUUAGAAUGGAUAUUGUAGCUAGUAGAAGUACUCCCUCUAUUCUUGAAAGAUACAAUUUCUAGAGUUGUCUUAAAUCAAACUUUUAAAACUUUAACCGAAUUUCUAGAAAAAAGGUUAAGAUUUAUAGUAGUAAAUUGAUACCAUUAGAUCUAUCAUAGAAUAUAUUUUUAUAAAAUACUUAUUUUAUGAUAUAAAUAUUGAUGCUUUUUUGUAAAGAUCAUUAAAUUUUAAAAAAAUUAACCAACACGAAUUCUAGAAGUUGAAACUUUCAAUAAGGUCUUGUUUAGUUCACCCCAAAAACCAAAAUCUUUUCAAGAUUCCCCGUCACAUCGAAUCUUAUGGUACAUGCAUGGAGUAUUAAAUAUAGAUAAAAAUAAAAACUAAUUGUACAGUUUACCUGUAAAUCACGAGAUGAAUCUUUUAAGCCUAGUUACUCUACGAUUGGAUAAUGUUUGUCAAAUAAAAACGAAAAUACUACAGUUCCGAAAAUUUUUCAGUUUUCGAAACUAAACAAGGGCUAAAGAGUAGUGUUUAUGACAAAAGGAAAAAAAAAAAGAUCGGCACUUGGCACCCGGCCACCCGCCCUCCACCCUAGGCCCGACGCGACCCGACCCCCACCUAGACCGGUCUCGGUCGGACUCUCGGCGUCUCUCGCCACGCGCGGGCGCGCCGCAAACAGUCCUCCGCCCGCCGUCGUACCACCCCCACCCGUGCUUCCUCCGUCGGUUGGCUGCAACAAGUCGGCAGCGCCGCGCCCGCCUCCCGACGCCCCAAGCCCCCAAUCGCUCCUCCUCCAUUUCCCACCCAUCCAGAAGUCCGCCGGCGCAGAGGGACCAGGGUUCGCCGCCAGCAGAUGCAGUUGCAGGAGCAGGGUUCGCCGCCAGCGCCAGUAGACGCAGGAGCUCGGCGGAUCCACAUCGGAGGCGAGCUGAUCCUCUACAGAAGGUGCCCCGCUGCUCCUCCCGUAGUCCUGCUGCUCCCGUAUUUGAUUAAUUUCUCCGGCUGCGAAUCGACUCAUGGGGGAAGAAACAGUUUUAGACGACAACGCCCUGGCUUUCUCGGCGGGUACGUAAUCCCCGUCCAGGGACGGGGAUGGGGAUGGGGUGAAAGUGAAAAACCCUCCCCUGCGAGGUUUUACGGGGACGAGGACGGGGAUGGGGAAGCGUUCCCCGACGGCGAAUUUCCCGUUGCCAUCCGCUCGUCUGUGAUGCUGGAUACGACGAGGCCAUGGCCAUCGAGGCCCAUCUACCACAACGACGACGGCACUGCCUUUCUUCCAUGGCCACCCGUGGUUUCGCUGAAUCAGUGGUCCCAAACUGUCAUUUUGGAGUCGUUAUUUCUCCUCCUCCAAAACGCGAGGAGUAGCCAUCGACAUUCCGCUCGCUCAGGCGUUUAAUUUUGUCCACAAAAGCCGGGAUCAGCCGUUACUGGGCGUCUCUUUCUCUCGCUGAAACGAUUGCACGUGUCCUGUUGCUAGUAAUAAACUGGACAACGAGCGGGGCAGCUCAACAAGAGGCACAGCCAAACGAGAGAGAGAGAGAGGAGAGGAGAAAGGGAGGGAGGGCCGCCGCGCAUCCAUCCGUCCGGAGAUAAGAGGGGAGUGGAAGAAAAGAGGAGAAGAUGAGCAGCUGACUUUGCCUCCCCCGUUAUAAAAGGGAGGAGGGGGCAGGGAGGAAGCCGUCCAUAGAUUCCUCCGCCUCGUCACUCCACUCCUUGAGAUUUGAGAACCACAAGGGCCACCCCCCACCCACCCUCCAAGGUCCGUCCCCUCCUCCUCCUCCUCCUCCCUCACCUUCAGCACCAUCCUCUCCAUUCCUCCACACAGCAAUAUCUGUCAAUCCCCCCCGUUUUGUUUUCCUCUGUUGCAAUCAGUAGCGUGUACCCUGUAGCUGUAGCUUCCACUUUCUUGCUGUGUCGUACUGUGAUGGUGCAAAGAAGAUUCCUGUUCCCCCUUUUAGAUCACCUUUGUGCAUGCCUUUUCUUGUGGUCCGUGGGCAAGGAAGGAGGCCGAAAAUUGCAUCAAUGCCCCUCCCUUCUCUCUCUGUCUAUACCCCCUCAUACUGCAUCACGAUCAAGAGCAUGUAUGCAAGUUGGUCUUUCUAGGGAUGGCGAACUGACCGGCGAUUUUCUGGUUAUUCGUCCUGCAGGACAUGGCGGACGCCGUCGACCGCUUGAAGACCGGGUUCAACAAGUUCAAGACCGAGGUCUAUGAGUAAGUCAUCUCUCUACUCGAUCAGAGAGCUGUUGCUUUCUGCAGCCCCGGCGUUUGGUUUAAUCGUUUCAGUUUCAACCCCAUGGUGCUUGCUUUUUUUUUUGGGGGGAACUCUGAGAGCUCCGACUGAUCCUGUGCCUGCUUGAUUUUUGUUUUUUUCGCAGCAAGAAGCCGGAGCUGUUCGAGCCUCUCAAGGCCGGCCAGUCCCCCAAGGUAUGUGCUACUGCCAUACUUCGCUCUCUUCUCACCUCCCUUGUACGCCGCUAAGUUUUUCGUCUCUAGCGACUCCGGCCGGCCAGUUUUCGGUUAUCUGUCGUACUCGUAGGUGCUGCUGCUCCCGUGAUCCUCAGCACAGAUCCUGGAUGGUUAAUUAGACAAAACCGUGUUCAGUAAAUUCGGAUUUUCCGUGGGCCUCUGGGCAACGUCCGACUGGCCCACAGAUUUGGUGCUACUCUUGCUUGCUGGUUGCCCAUCUGCCUCAGAGAACCGCGUCGCUGCUAGUACUAGGCUCUGUAGCUCAUCAGUAUCCCUGCAUUGCAAUGCACUAUUCAUCGUCCACCCUGUCGUGUCCCUGGGUGCGCACGCAGCCACGCCGGUAAGGUGAGGUCAAAGUUGCAGUAGACAAAAGGAAACCUUUGUGCCGGUACCGAGGUCAAAGUUGCAGUAGACAAAAGGAAACGGAUUGUCCUAAUUGCACGGCUUAAAACUGAGGUGACAGCUUGUCGCCAUUAUAUUAGCGGCCAAUUGGCAAGUAGUUCUGUUUGGAUAUACUACAUAACUAGUCCUAUAAUUGCUUUGUGCAACAGUGCAAGUCUGCACCAUAGGGCACAAGCUUCAGCUUUGGCACUACCAGUCAUAGCGCAAAAGAAAUGGUGUAGUGGGAUAUACAUGCAUGCUUGCAAAGCAAAAUCCUUCACAGCUCCCACCGGCCACCACUGUGCCGGGCACUAACCCCAUGUGCGGCAUGCUAGCUGGUGAUUUGCAUUUGUUUGGUAAAUUAUUGAGAUGUCGCCGUCCCUAUAUAGGCUCACUUUGCAGAUGACGGAUAUAGUAGUACGUUAGUAUUAGUAUAUUGAUUUUCCUUCAGUUGACUAGUAUAAACCUGGUGCAAGAAUCUUGCAAGUACAGAGUUUAUUGUUUUAAUUUAUAGGAGUUUUGAGCUGGCAUCGAUCCCAUGCGCCUAAUUAGUAAAUACUUCAUGAAAUGCAUGCAUGCAUGGUAUAGCUAGCUGGUUCUACUGGUUUUUCCUACCCAUGAAAAUUACUAGUAGUCAAAUAUUCUUUGUAGUAAAGGAGAAGAUAAAAGCAGUCUAAUUUGGCGUACUCAGUCUGUGGAAAACAAAGAACUACUCUGCACAUUGUUUGAAUUAUAAUGGUCACUUCCACCUACUAGCCGUGUUGAAUUCUUUUUUUGAACAUAUGGUCACUUUCAUCAUUACAUUUGAAGGGGCAGCAACAGAUGGUGGUGACCAGCCAUUUCAGAUGUCUCAUCAUUUCGAUUUUUUUGUUUGACACUCACAUACACAACACAAACACAAAGAGACGUGAACCCCAAGUCUCCUUUACCUUAUAUGAUAGAACAGAAAUAAUGCAAGGGGAGCCAUGUACUAGAUAAGAACAGGUGUGUAUUAGCAUUCAUCAUUCCAUGGCUAAUGUGUGGUCCAGCCAUGAUUGAGCACAGGCCCCACCAUUCACCUCACGGGAUUCUUCUUUCUUCAUCGUCAGUAUAGAAGAGGAGUAGUUGGUUUGGACGUGUCCUCUCCCCUCUCCUCUCACACCCCUUGCAAAAAAGUUAGGCGCAUAAUUGUUGGGCAGCAGGGCCUAUUGGCGGUUGCUUUAGCAUUGAGAACACUGUGUAUUCGCAUCCAUAUCUCACUGGACAUGCCGAUCCUCGAGAAAAUAUGCUUUACUACACUACAGAUGUAUGUCUCAGAGUAUAUAUACACAAAAAAUAGUGGAAGAUGAUUGCAUUACGCCAUGGGUCCUAAUCACCUUUGUAUCCCCGGGUCCCUUUCCAAAUCAUGGCCUCCCAAGUCCCAAGUGUGAGCUAAUCCAAGCCAGAACAAAUAUUCCAGCGUCCUGCCUCCCGAAGACUCCUGAUGGCUGAUGCUGCUCUUUGCCGUCAAAUUAAAGCUUAAUCUGCACUAUUGAUUUGGACACCCACAUCCCAGGGCCACAUAAACCCGUCACAUGAAAUUCGUUAUCUGUUCAUUCACUUAUAUGCAUAUAUGCAGCCUCCCUUUUGCCUACCAACUUGGCCGGAAAUAUUCUUGCUUGGCAGCCGGGAAUAGGAUAGAUAAGCGUGUUUUUCCUUGGCCGCUGAUCUGCCCCGGGAGCACACGGAAACCAGCUUAGAAUAUCCUCGUCGCAACUUGUACUAGUAGCACGGAAGGAACCUUCCUGCAGCCUGGAUUUUGUCCAUCCUGCCCCUGUAAAAAAAAGAGCAUUGGAACAACAAAGACAGGCGGGUCAAAACUCACAAAAGCUGCCGCCUUUUGGCUUUGGUUGCCAGCUUGCAAAUCCACCACAGCCAGAAUCGUGUAGUACUCCACUGAUCAGGACCGAUCUGCCUACCUGCUUAUCGAUAAGAGCCGUGGGAACUGGACUGAAUUUUGCCGGCUCUCCCUCUUUUCACCGACCUCUGAUGGUGAUCUUCCUCUGCUAACACGCAGUACAUGGUGUUUGCGUGCUCCGACUCCCGUGUGUGCCCGUCGGUGACCCUGGGUCUGCAGCCCGGUGAGGCCUUCACCGUCCGCAACAUCGCCGCCAUGGUCCCAGCCUACGACAAGGUACGCGUCCACACUGACCGACGCAUUGGACGUCUAAUUUUUUCAAGCCCGGCCGCCGUGGAACAUUGACGGACGACUAACAUGGUUGCCUUUCGUUUUUGUCACCUGCAGACCAAGUACACCGGCAUUGGGUCUGCCAUUGAGUACGCCGUGUGCGCCCUCAAGGUGCAGGUCCUCGUCGUCAUUGGCCACAGCUGCUGUGGUGGCAUCAGGGCGCUCCUCUCCCUCCAGGAUGGCGCACCUGACACCUUGUAAGUCAUCAUCCCUAGAAUAUAUACAAAUUUCAUUUAGGUUAAGAAACAAGACUCGUGUGCCUCGAUCGAUCUCGUGUCAUGAAUUUGAUCCUAGCAUUGUUGUCCGUUUGUUUGGUGGUGUAUGUACGCAGCCACUUCGUUGAGGACUGGGUCAGGAUCGGCUUCCCUGCCAAGAUCAAGGUGAAGAAAGAGCACGCUUCGGUGCCGUUCGAUGACCAGUGUUCCAUCCUGGAGAAGGUACGUACACCGUACACGCACGAGCUGUUAGUUAUUGGAUGAAUAAUGGAUUGGUUUUGCUCACCAAAGGACCUUGUAUUUUCUGAAUAUUUGUGCAGGAGGCCGUGAACGUGUCCCUCGACAACCUCAAGACGUACCCCUUCGUCAAGGAAGGGCUGGCCAACGGGACCCUCAGGCUGGUCGGCGGCCACUACAACUUCGUGUCAGGGGAGUUCGACACAUGGGAAAUUAAGAGCUAAGCUGCCCGGCCGGCCGCUUAACAACUCCUACCAUCAUCAUAAAUAUAUAUACUACAUACCUACCGAUAUGCACCCGAUCGAUGUGAAUGCGUGGAGUAUUACUCAUGUUUUCUGCAUGCAGCGACAUAUAUAUAUAUAUACCGGAUCGCCCAAUGUGAAUGUAAUAAGUAAUAGCAUUUUCUACCGCUUUUAUUUCUAACGCCGAGCUUUCAUGUACUAUAUAAUGUGUUAUAUGAUGAGUAAUUUGACCGCCCUGUGGUCAAAAGACAUCAGCUAUAAUCCUUUUUUCGCAAUAUUUAUUAUGAAGCGUUUACCUCUUGUACUGCCUUUACUGUUCAUCUUUUCUGUCUCUCUAUGAAAUGCUGAUAUAUGACACCAUUUAUGUGAG
This 12811-nucleotide long non-coding RNA is filed under the name Sorghum bicolor (sorghum). RNAcentral's name for it is "long non-coding RNA (SBIC_LNC005579)". The record is from RNAcentral. Lineage: Eukaryota; Viridiplantae; Streptophyta; Magnoliopsida; Poales; Poaceae.